CUCUCUGUCGGGGGAGACAAUUCAAGGUUAAUGAGAAACCAGAGCACACUGAGCGUAAAUCUGGCUCUUUGGAUUGACAGCCAUAGGUGACAGAGACUGAAGAUUCUUGUGCACAAACAAUGAAGGUGGUUUGACCUUUACCUGGGAAGGAAAUGAGCUGACUCAUCUUGAGCCAGAUGGAACUCUACUCGGAUUAAAGCUUCAGGAAGAUCAAUUUGAGAGCUGGAAGCAGCAAAGAUGUUAUGCAACCAAGUGGACAUUUGAAAGAAGUAGAGGAAAGGUCAUUGCAGCAGCAGAUUGGAACAGAAAUAGCAAGAGCUAUAGAAAGGCAAUUGAUCAGUUGAUGAAGUCAUGGUGCCUUAUGUCUGUACAGUGAGAGCUUUCGGAGAGAUUGAGAAUUCUCUGCAGUUGAAUGUAAUUCAAAUACAAAAUUAAAAAAAAGAAGACCAGUUAAAGAUGAACACAUGUAAAUGAACAUGGAAAACAGAUUGGUGUGGGACAUGAAAGAGAAUUAGCACAGCCCAGAGAAAAUACAUGGUGACCGGUGUGGAAAUAAAUGAAGACCAAUCGAAUGAGAACA
This 580-nucleotide long non-coding RNA is filed under the name Vulpes vulpes (red fox). RNAcentral describes it as "lncRNA (ENSVVUG00000018711.1)". Lineage: Eukaryota; Metazoa; Chordata; Mammalia; Carnivora; Canidae. The record is from RNAcentral.